CUUGUAGUCUCCAUUCCCACAUGCCCCUCCUGGUUGAACUUUCUGUUCUGAAUGUGAGCUGGACAAAGAUGUGUGUGGACGUUUUCAUACAACAUGGGUCCUAAAGGCACAAGCCAACCAUUUCAUCUAGGAUCCAAACAAAUGAUGACUGUUCUACAAGUGAAGGAAAACAAGAUUAUUGAACUAUUCCAAGACUUUAUACCCUUCUGAGGAAUAUUUCUUUUUUCUUUUUUUUUUAUUUUUUAGUUAUUGGCGGACACAUCAUCUUUAUUUGUAUGUGGUGCUGGGGAUCGAACCUGGGCCGCACGCAUGCCAGGCGAGCGCGCCACCGCUUGAGCCACAUCCCCAGCCCCUGAGGAAUAUUUCAAGGGUGAUUUUGACCCUGUGUUAUGACUUUACACCUAUCCUUCACAUGAUAUGUAAUGUGAUGGAUAUAAAAUCUCAAGGAAAAUACUGUGAUUGUCCAGAGGAAGUAGGAACUAUCUUUAAAAGGUCGAUGGAGGCUUUACAGAAGAAACAAAUAUUUUGGUAGAGCCUAAGUCAGGAGAUGUGGAAGGCAGGUGUUAAAUCUACUUAAGUUUUGGAGUCUACAUAGUGAACUGCAACUGAGUAUGGUAUAUAAACAAAUUGCAAAAAAGAGUACAUUCUUGUAACAAAUAGCUGAAUUCCAGCCAAUCACAGCAGUCAAGCUUCAGCCAAUCAUAGACUGCCAACUCAUCACACUAUGCCCAAAUAAGGCAAAUACAGAGCUAUAACCAAUCAAGCUGUUUCUGUAUGGCACUUCCUUUUCCUGUGUGUAAAUACUGCCUACUGGUGUGGCUGGAUGGAAGUGUCUGAACCUCUCCUAGUUCUGAGUGCUGCCCAGUUCAUGAAUCAGUCUUUUCACAAAUAAGC
Molecule: long non-coding RNA, 894 nt
Filed under: Marmota monax (woodchuck)
Lineage: Eukaryota; Metazoa; Chordata; Mammalia; Rodentia; Sciuridae
Source: RNAcentral